GUGCUUGCUUCAGCAGCAUAUAUGCUAAAAUUGGAAUGAUACAAAGAUUAGUGUGACUUCUGUGCAAGUAUGACAUGAAAUUAAUGAAGCAUUCUAUAUUUUU
This is a small nuclear RNA of Antechinus flavipes (yellow-footed antechinus), 103 nucleotides long. The record is from RefSeq and is a predicted model, not a curated record. NCBI's taxonomy places the organism in Eukaryota, Metazoa, Chordata, Mammalia, Dasyuromorphia, Dasyuridae.